CAGCAAGGCGGGUCCAGGAUAAGGCAAGCCUAUCACUGGAUGAGGAGGAGCGGUAGGCGGGGAAAAGUCUAGGAAGGAGGGAAGAGAAGGAGCGAGGGAGAUCAAGAUGGAGUCCAUGGAAGAAAAUGGUUCAGAUUUAGUGUGCAUCCGAGGACACCCCAGCACGUUAGAAAACACCCAAACAGGUCAGCCCCACACAGCCAGGGAGAAGGCUGGUUCCUCUUGUUCUGCAUGACUGAGAUCCGUUUGUCUACAUGCCCUCCCUCAUGUCUCCAUGGUAACAAGACCGGCUGGACAUUGGACAUCCCACACUGAUUUCCGGCAUCACUUUGUAGAAGCAGGAUGGACCAUGGGCAUUUUUGCUUGUUCACACAUCUCCUGAAACUGACCCAUUCACUUAUCCAUUAACUUGAGGUUUUGUUGGGUUUAUAUUAAAAUGGUAGGGUUGGGAAAUUCUAAGAGAUCAUGUGGAGUCAAAAGCUGAAAACAUGUGCUAUUUGUCCCAUUAUAA
This 511-nucleotide small RNA is filed under the name Rattus norvegicus (Norway rat). RNAcentral describes it as "uncharacterized LOC102546353". The record is from RNAcentral. Lineage: Eukaryota; Metazoa; Chordata; Mammalia; Rodentia; Muridae.